ACAGCGUGUCCAGUCCGUGGGUCG
Molecule: small nuclear RNA, 24 nt
Filed under: Arabidopsis thaliana (thale cress)
Lineage: Eukaryota; Viridiplantae; Streptophyta; Magnoliopsida; Brassicales; Brassicaceae
Description: snRNA_07362
Source: RNAcentral